UACAGAGGGUGCAAGCGUUGUCCGGAAUUAUUGGGCGUAAAGCGCGCGCAGGCGGUCUCUUAAGUCUGAUGUGAAAGCCCACGGCUCAACCGUGGAGGGUCAUUGGAAACUGGGGGACUUGAGUACAGAAGAGGAGAGUGGAAUUCCACGUGUAGCGGUGAAAUGCGUAGAGAUGUGGAGGAACACCAGUGGCGAAGGCGGCUCUCUGGUCUGUAACUGACGCUGAGGCGCGAAAGCGUGGGGAGCAAACAGG
RNAcentral lists this unclassified non-coding RNA (253 nucleotides) under uncultured Bacillaceae bacterium. RNAcentral's name for it is "contains 16S-23S intergenic spacer region". It matches the Rfam family "Bacterial small subunit ribosomal RNA", at positions 524 to 776 of the family's 1533-position model. Lineage: Bacteria; Bacillati; Bacillota; Bacilli; Caryophanales; Bacillaceae. The record is from RNAcentral.